AAGAAAAAGCGCCAUUCCUGGCGCCUAUUUUCACUGGCGGCCACGUAUAACUGCCGGUGAUCACCGGAAUCACCGGCAGCCAUCCAAAAACGCCCCUGUUUUUGAAACGUGGGCGCCGGUGAAUCGACGGUACUAAAACCAAAAACGGAGAGACGUUUCAUUUUCGUCGCGCGCACAAACUCCCUCCUCUCUCUUGUCCCGUGCGCUUCUCCUGGCCCUCUCCCUUCCCCGAUCUCUCUUCCAUCUCGCUGGUCCGACCCUUUGGCUUCCUCGAUUUCUCUCCCUUCCUCUCCCUCCAUCUCUCGAUCUCCCUGAUUUCCCUCCCUCUCCAUUGACGUCUCUCCCAGUUCGCUCUCUUCGAAGCAACCAUUGAUCGAUCUCCCUCCAAUAGCUGACGUGAAUAGAAGAAAUUAGGGCACAUGAAGUGAAAGGGAGCAUGAAUUGAAUUUAAGAGACGGUAAUGACUGGGGAGUUCUCCACGAGGAAGAAGUUACAGAAGCAACUAUAGUAGCCAGCACGCUCACCAUGGGAUGGAAAAACAAAGACACAAGGCCUUUAAAACAACGAAUAUUGAUGGUGAUUAACAGGCUUCCAUUCUUUGCUGUUAGGAAUGGUGAUUAUUCUUGGUCACUAGAGACUAGUUCUGGGGGUCUAGUAAAUGCUCUUCUUGUCUCGGUGAACAGCAUGUUGGUUAUUGUCAUUUGGAUUUUCCCACAUUAAAGCUCAGCGUUGUUGGUGGACGCCCAUUUUCUUGUGGGGGAGAUCAGUUAUUUCGGAAAAGACUUCUUUCUGCAAGGGAGCGAUCUUGUGUCACAUAUGGCUUAUAUGCAAAUGGACAAUUUUGCACAUUUGAGGCUCUUGCAGAUUAAUAGUGGCACCUCCAAGGGAAGAGAGAAAAGAGCGUGCUAUCUGAUCUUGAAAAGCGUGUGUAGAUAAGAUAGCUGCUGCAGAGGAGUCGCUGAAAAAGAAGAAGCAGGAUUGAGAUGAAGCUGAAAAAUACAUAUGAUCAGCUACAUUUCAGCAGGAAGCCAUAUUUACAAUGAAUCCUGAAACCACACAGAUGGAGAUGCUCUUUUGCUCCACUGUGGUUGGGCUUCCUUUCUUGAUUACACCCAUGCUUUUAACGGGAGAGCUGUUCACGGCCUGGAAUUCCUGCUCUCAGUUUGAUUUAUGCCGCAUUGAAGUGGUACCAGGAAGUAGAUUGCCCUUGGUAAGAGUUCCAUCAUUAGAGGUAGCUGGAAGGAAUGGGAUUACAGUUUCAGAAAAUUCUUCUUGCAGCUCUUGCUAGUAGUUUGGAAUAUAAGGACUCCCAUUCAAGGUUAUAAAUAUCAGGAUCAGUCCACAUCAGCCAGCCCCAAAAAUGAUACGCCAUAUGAAUCAGACAGUAUUGGUGCCCAAGGUAUGAACCAGACCCAAAGUGACAAAAUCAGUGAACCCUCAACAGGUACAUAAUGGUUUCUAAUACUAAGAAACUUUGUACCAAGUGAUAUU
Molecule: RNA transcript, 1491 nt
Organism: Magnolia sinica
Lineage: Eukaryota; Viridiplantae; Streptophyta; Magnoliopsida; Magnoliales; Magnoliaceae
Gene name: UDP-galactose/UDP-glucose transporter 4-like
Exons: 9
Source: RefSeq, a predicted model, not a curated record